CACUAACUAAAGCUGCGUGCCCUAUAAACGGCAAGUGAGUUUCCCACGUUUGCCCACCUCAUUGUCCUCUUCGUCUCUCUCAAUCUCCAUCCUUUCCCUUUAAUGAAUUAGUAUCAAAAGAUUUGAGAAGCAAAGGUCAAAGGUGAAAUGCUCACCGGAGAUUGUAAAAUAAAUGAAUGAAACCAAGGAACAGCGAAAAUUCAAGAUAGUUACAACCGCAAGUGGCUUAUGAGGGGGCAAUUUGGUGCUCAAUUUGAUGGUAAACAUCAUAUUCAUUUUUCUAUAAAUACGUUGCAGAGUAAUUGAUAUGAGGAUUACAGCUCUUUGGAUCUACUUGAUUAGGAAUUUUUUCAAGUUGCAGGAGUAUUGAUUGAAGAAAGGUUCUAGAAUCAUCUUUAAGAGAAGGGUGAUUGUUGUGAAACAGGAAACUAACAAGAAAGAGAUCAAUGACAAAAUUUAUAGGGGUACCACAUUUCCUCGAAAAUGAAACGAGCUAGCGCAUAAUCUAGCUAAGAUGGAUUUUUUGAAUUCUGCCUUUCCAAGUUGGGUUGUAACUGAUGCACUGGCUUCUUUCACAUAUUGAGACGUAUUAUGAGUUAAUAUGAUGCAACUAUUUGCAUGAUGAUGUAUGUGCUUAGAUUAUUAAUCAUUAGUCAACUCAAUGUUUUAUUGUGCUUUCUUGUGGUCUCUUCUAUGGUUAUUAACAACCAAUAUAACAAGCAAAAUUAUGAUCAUCUUAUCAGCUUAUGUAAGUGUUGUAGCCUGGACAAAAUGAUUCUACCAGUCAUCAUUUGAUAUUUUUCUUCUUGUUUUUUUAAUAUGUAGGUAACAACUUUAUUAGAUGAUUGAAAGUUUCUUGAUAUUUUUUUGGUAGAACGAAACAUGUUGUGUUGGCUACUGUAUUUGGAUCUAGGCUUGAAGCUCAUCAGUGUGGAUCGUACUUUUGCUGGAAAGCACUACAUGGACUUGUCUGCAAAGCCUUUCUUCAAUGGGUUUGUUGAAUACAUUAUUUCUGGUCCUGUUGUUGUGAUGGUAUGGGCGAGCAAGGGUGUAGUUACUACUGGUAGGAAGAUAAUUGGAGCAACAAAUCCAUUGGAGUGUGCUGCUGGUACCAUCCGUGGUGAUUAUGCGAUUGACAUUGGAAGGUAAAACAUUUUACAUCCAUUUUACUGGUUGCGUCUCUAGCAUCCAGUUUCUCUCAAGCCAACGUACCAAUAGUUAGGACUAAUUAUGUGUUCCAAAACACUUAACCCCAAGUUAAAACUUUUUGUAACUUAUCUGUUCAAUCAUGUAACUUAUAAUACACCUAGCACAAAGUUAAGUUGAAAUUGUUUGUGCCAAUUGAGUUCCGAGCUAAGUUUUCUCUGUGACUUUUGUGUCAGCUUCAGUAGAUUACGCUCAUUUUUUCCCAAGAUUCUAAGAUUAAGUAGCUUCAUAGGAAAGGUAAGUCAAGAGUAUGUUUCAUCUGUUACUUCUAUGGAGAUUUAUUCUUUAAAAUUUUCUUCCCCUUUACAUUUUAGUAGCUUCAUUUAAAAAGUACAUGCCUCUUAUUUUCAGAUUUCAUUAUCCUUUCCGCCAACAAAAACAGGUUUCGAACCAAAAAAAGGCCCGUGAAUUAUUUAAUUCAAGAAAAGAGCCGUAACCAGUUUCAAGAUGCAUAAAUAUAAACAUAUGUUGUUGCGAGACUGUGUUCAGAAAGGUGUUUUUUUCUAGAGGCACUUAGGAGCUAAUUAAGAGGGGGUGUCACCUUUUCUGAUAUUGUUGUUGAUAUGUAAAUAGUUGGUACACACAUGUAUGAUAUUUUCAUGGAUGUAAAAUCUAUAUCAGGUGGCAAUUAUAAACAUCCUCUGUUCCAAAGUAUAUGUAAAUACUAUCUUAACAAUAAUGAAUUUCUCUUUUCUGCUA
Molecule: long non-coding RNA, 1905 nt
Organism: Capsicum annuum
Lineage: Eukaryota; Viridiplantae; Streptophyta; Magnoliopsida; Solanales; Solanaceae
Exons: 4
Source: RefSeq, a predicted model, not a curated record